RNAcentral lists this ribosomal RNA (567 nucleotides) under Colletotrichum boninense. RNAcentral's name for it is "eukaryotic LSU rRNA". The stretch from base 194 to 347 matches the Rfam family "5.8S ribosomal RNA". Lineage: Eukaryota; Fungi; Ascomycota; Sordariomycetes; Glomerellales; Glomerellaceae. The record is from RNAcentral.
GUGGGCUCUGGUACGCUCUAUACCCUUUGUGACAUACCUACAACUGUUGCUUCGGCGGGUAGGCCGUCCCCUGAAAAGGACGCCUCCCGGCCCGGACCGGACCCCCCGUGGGGCCGGACUCGGCGCCCGCCGGAGGAUAACCAAACGCUAUUUUAACGACGUUUCUUCUGAGUGGCAUAAGCAAAAUAAUCAAAACUUUUAACAACGGAUCUCUUGGUUCUGGCAUCGAUGAAGAACGCAGCGAAAUGCGAUAAGUAAUGUGAAUUGCAGAAUUCAGUGAAUCAUCGAAUCUUUGAACGCACAUUGCGCCCGCCAGCAUUCUGGCGGGCAUGCCUGUUCGAGCGUCAUUUCAACCCUCAAGCUCUGCUUGGUGUUGGGGCUCUACGGUCGACGUAGGCCCUCAAAGGUAGUGGCGGACCCUCCCGGAGCCUCCUUUGCGUAGUAACAUUUCGUCUCGCACUGGGAUCCGGAGGGACUCUUGCCGUAAAACCCCCCAAUUUUUCAAGGUUGACCUCGGAUCAGGUAGGAAUACCCGCUGAACUUAAGCAUAUCAAUAAGCCGGAGGAA